GAUGAACGCUGGCGGCGUGCCUAAUACAUGCAAGUCGAGCGAACAGUCCAGGUGCUUGCUCCUUCGACGUUAUCGGCGGACGGGUGAGUAACACGUAGUUAACCUACCUAUCAGACUGGGAUAACUUCGGGAAACCGUAGCUAAUACCGGAUAAUAUUUCGACCUGCAUGGUUCGAUAGUUAAAGAUGGCUUUUCUAUCACUUAUAGAUUGCCCAGCGCCGUAUUAGCUAGUUGGGAAGGUAACGGCUUAACAAGGCAACGAUACGUAGCCGACCCGAGAGGGUGGACGCAAACAUUGGAAGUGAGACACGGUCCAGACACCGACGGUAGGAAGCAGUAGGGAAUCUUACGGAAUGGGCGAAAGGCUGAUGGAGCAAAGCCGCGUGAGGGAUGAAGGUCUUAGGAUCGUAAAACUCUGUUAUUAGGGAAGAACAAAAGUGUAAUUAACUGGGAACGUAAUGACGGUACCGAAACAGAAAGCCACGGCUAACUACGUG
Molecule: ribosomal RNA, 497 nt
Filed under: uncultured bacterium
Lineage: Bacteria
Description: partial 16S ribosomal RNA
Rfam family: Bacterial small subunit ribosomal RNA
Source: RNAcentral